Molecule: small nuclear RNA, 146 nt
Organism: Drosophila subobscura
Lineage: Eukaryota; Metazoa; Arthropoda; Insecta; Diptera; Drosophilidae
Product: U2 spliceosomal RNA
Exons: 1
Source: RefSeq, a predicted model, not a curated record
AUACUUACCCUAUUUACUCUUCGAGUACCGGGUAUACAAAUGUUAAACUGAUUUUUACAAUCAGACGGAGUGCUAGGGGCUUGCUCCACCUCUGUCGCGGGUUGGCCCGGUAUUACAGUACCGCCGGAAUUUUCAGCCCAACUUAA